AAAUUAAAUGGCGAUGACGUUCGCCGCAAAUAAUUGUUGAUCAAUUUGAUGACGUCUACUACAAA
This 65-nucleotide non-coding RNA is filed under the name Lactiplantibacillus fabifermentans. RNAcentral's name for it is "Lactobacillus fabifermentans Fluoride sequence". It matches the Rfam family "Fluoride riboswitch aptamer (crcB RNA motif)". Lineage: Bacteria; Bacillati; Bacillota; Bacilli; Lactobacillales; Lactobacillaceae. The record is from RNAcentral.